Non-coding RNA from Aedes aegypti (yellow fever mosquito), 47 nucleotides. The record is from Rfam. NCBI's taxonomy places the organism in Eukaryota, Metazoa, Arthropoda, Insecta, Diptera, Culicidae.
CCAUCGGCCCUUUUCAGGGCCAUCAAAUUUGUGGAAAAGAGCAAUAU